GGAAGGGAUCGAGGGAGAGAGAGGUUCAGGUCGGGGCUAGGAUUAGAGGAGAGGAACUGGGCCUAUUGGUCAAGGAGGCUGCGAGAGGCCUUGGGACGAGAGGAGCAAAUGGCCCGGGAGGUGGGCUUCUGUUGCUGACCUCCUCACAUAACGUGGAAAAACAAAGAGAGAAAAGGGAGAAGAAAGAAAGGGGCUGGUCUGGAAAGCUGAAUUGUGCUUAGAGGCAAAUGGGUCGGCCUGGUUCUCUCUUCUCUCUUCUCUCUAAAAACAGAAAAAAGACAAAGAAGGAAAAAAGAGAAAGGAAGAAAAGAGUGGACCAAAAUUUGGGCAGCGGAUUAAUUUUCCCAGACUCGCAAAAAUGUGCACGGUCCAAGAAAAAUAGGAGGGGACAUGAUUGCAAGAAUUUAAUUCAAAGUCAUUUGAAUUUAAUUCAAAUGGUUUGAACAAGGACUUGGUUUUAGAAGUGUCCAAAAAAUGUUCGGAUUUAUGGUGGAGCUCUGGAAUAUGAUGAAAGAAUAUAUAGCAAAGUUGGAGACCAAGAAUUAAGAUAACAAAGGCAUUGGGAUAAUUUGCAGGUGUGGUAUGGUGAAUUCCAAAUUAAAGGAAUAUUUAAUAUAGCCUCUAAUGUUGGGAGGAUAUGUUAUGAAGAGAAUCACCAUGUGAAUUCCAUCGGUUUAAAUAGAUCAAAAGAUCUAUGCAAUUUAUUUAGUUGAGUUUAAAAAAUGAAAUGGCAUGAUGGCAUGAUGACAUGAUGCAAUGCACAUGAUGCAAAGAACCAAAAAAAUCACACGACGAAACUCAGAAAACAUGGAAGGCAUCUGGAGCUCCGGUCUCGGGGUGUUACAACACUCCACCACUACAAGAGGAUCUCGUCCCGACAUCUAGAAUGGCAUCGGAGGAAAAACGAAAGAGGAAUAGGAAAGGUAAAACUAAGUUGCUUCUUCGACAAAUGAGUGAAACCACGAACCUUGAGAUGUUAAACCAUUUCGAAAGAAAGAAUACAAUGGAGGUGAACGAGAUUGCAAACACUCCGUUAGCAAAGAAAUAAAAGAACAUGAAGAGAACCAAGAGCUUAGGGGACAAGAUAGAUUUUUAAGCCACGCCAGUUAAAACAAGAUAGAGAAGGGAUAAGAGUGAUAUAAUUUGGACAGCACUCUGACUGUAAAUGGAAGAAAUUGAACAUGAACUUGACAACAUGAGAGGAUACUUGAUGAAAUCAAAAACACACUGCCUCCGGAACUAUUGAAAGAAUGGCACAAUGGGUAAGAAAGAUUUCAGACAGCACUCCGGUUGAGAAGGGAGGCAAAACUUGACAGAAUGGGAAGAACUUGAAAAGAGGGCAUGACACUCCAGUUGAAAAAUGAAUAAGAACACGGUCCUCACAAUCUGAGAUGAUGAGUUAAAAGAGAACAUCACAAUGCCUCCGGAACGAAGGAAUAGAAGUUGGACCGUUGGAAAGAAAAGAAUUGAGAAGAGAAUGAUAUCUUCUACCACAAUUUCAUUUGAAGGCAUCCAUAGAAAGAAGGAUUGAAUGGAGUUGUUGGAAAAACCAACAACGAAAAGAGUAAGCAUGUUGUGGGCUUAUGGAAAACAUCUCCUUUUACCAAGAGAAUAGGAGGAAACUUGGAUUAUAAAUAAGCACCAUAAUUAGUAACAUUCCUUAGAGAAGGCUUUAAGUGAAAUCUAUACCGAGAUAACACCAACGAUGAAAUUAGGAUGGGUUUAGACAACUCAUGAUUGAAGAGAAGAUGAUGGUUUUGCAAUAUGUCAUUUCGAACAACUUGUGAAUCAUGAAACACGAAGGGGAAUUGUCAAGAAUGACAUAACACCACCUCAAAAGAUAAGGUAGAAAGAAUUGCACUUUGGAAUGCAAGAUGAAGAAUGCUUGAACUCCUGAAAACAAAACAUGUGUUGAACACCAUGUUUAAUUUAGAGUAUAGCUUGACGGAUCAUAACUUCAAGAGAAAUCUUGAAGAACAAUUGAAGAAUGAAAAGGAUCCUUGACUAACCACCAUGAAGAAACUCUCGAAGAACUCCGGAUAGAUAAAACAAGGUCGCAAGAAAAAGAAGAUUGAAAAGAAUAAGAUGAAUGCUUGCAUUGAUUAGAUGGAGCUUUGCAAUGACAUAAUCGAGAAAAAACUUGGCACUCCAGAAACAAAGAUGAGAAAUUGAAACCAAGAAUUUUUGAUGGACCUCCGUAAUAAAGAAUUAAACACUUGGAUGAAGCAAGAAUAAGAAUUAUGUUAUGCGCAUCCCUCACCAAUAUAAAUUGAUGACAAGAAACGGAUUUGGCAUACUUCUUGUUCUCGUAGAAAGGAUUAAGAUAGAUAUAGCGCAAACUUGAGGAAGGUCUUCAACGAUCCACCGAUAGGCUUGGAAAGAACGAAUGAAUUGAUAUGAUAACGAAGGAAGAGAACUCUUGAACGAACCACCGUAAGAAUUGAAAAUGAAAGUGGCAAAAGCACAAUUCACCAGGAAGAAUUGGAAAAUGGACGAAUAUACUUAAGAGAAUCAAGAUGCAAGAGAACAAAGAGAUCAUGGACUGUUUAAAGAAUGCUUGAAUGAUGCACCGGUAAGAUUGGAGAACGGGAGUUGAAAGCUGAGAAUGAAUAAACCUGAAAUGAUGGCCUUCGGAGAAUCAAACUGAAAAGUCUUCUGAAUUGAUCCGGAUGGGUGAAAAGAAUUGUCACAAUCAAAACCAAUUAUGAGGAGAUGGCAUGAAGCUAGUACCAUGAAUCUUCGAGAGAACGGACCAAGAUUUAGAGGAAACACUUCUUCGGCCUUCAAAAUCCGAGAAAGACGAUGAGAAACACCAUCAAGAAUUGUUGAGACACUCCGAAAUGAUUAAAAAAGGAAAGGUUGAGGCAAAGGUGAAAAGAAUUUGAAAGAUCUUGGAGAAAGACAUAUGACUGAUGAUAAUUCAUUUUUACGUCAACUUGGAGAAUAAUUUGAGAGUAAGUCCGGCAAAAUUAGAAGAGUCGGGUAAGAUCCUGGGAAAAGACCUGUGGGUUAGGGCCCACUCAAAAGAUACAUCGUUGAAAUGGUUUGAAGAGAGAUUGCACUAGUUGAAUUAAAUGGCUUAGAAGAGAUAACAACCUCAAGAUAGCUUGAACGGUUUAGGAAUGAAAACACAAAUCUCCUGAGAUAUCUUCGGUACUCUAGAACAAAUGAAUGGCGAGAAGUGGAUGAUUAAAAGGUGCACCGGCAUGAGAAGACAUUUGAAAUGAGGAAAGGAUAUGAUCGACAAAGCUUGACUUGAAUCCACCGAGAAGAAAAGAAUGAAGAAUGAUAGACUUGAGGCUCCGUUAGUGUCUUCCUGAGAAUCACCGGAUAAGAACAUUGACGAAAAAAAUGGAGAGACUCGCCACCAAUAAAAAGUAUACUUGAAUAAGAAAUCCGAUUCCUUGAAGAAAAAAGGGUGGGAGGGAGGGAAAACAAAGGCAACUUGGGGCGGAUGGAACAAACACCAUUGAGAAAAAGCUUAGAAUUGAUCUUGUGAAUGUUGGAAUGAUCGGAUGCACUUGAAGAGAAACACGCCGGUUGAAAAGGAUUGACAUGACAAUGUCAAUUAUCAUGAAGGAUUAGUAUUCACAUAGAAGUGUGAGAACACCACUUAGGGAAGGUAUGGAAUCAACACUUGACAUUGAAGCAACUCAAAUACCACAAAUCAAAACAAAACGAACGAUUGGCUUGCAGAAUAAGCCAGAAACAAACAUACGAUAGAUCCCAUAUCGUAUCAUGUGUCUGUUGGAAAGAAUUCCUACCUGAUACUUGAAUUCCCACUUAUAAACUCCCGAAACUUUCUGGUUACGCAAUCAGGUGUUGGGGAUACAGGGGAAGCAUAAAAUCUCACCCAAACCAACAAUCCCUACAUCCAGCUGUAUCCAUCCUUCAACACAUAACCAAGAAACCUUCAGAAAUCGUGUACCUCAACCUUCGAAAAGCAUCUGUUAUACGAGUUAUGGCAAUACUCCCGAACUCCCGCCCCAGUACUGGGUGGCAUCAAGGUUAUCUCACCAACAACUGCAUAAAAGAGAUUUUCGAUGUCGGCGGAUCAGGUAUUCUAGAACUACAAUGAUAAAAUUGUGAUGACAACACCUCGGAGCACAACUCCCCGGGACAUUUGCCACAACCCCUAAAUGUCAGGAGGCACCAAGAAUAUUGUUCUCGUCACAGGACUAUCGGAACGAUUCCAGGACACGCGCGAAAUUUGAGGAGAGAAAAUUCAAAACUUCUAUGGAAUGCUUUUCGAAGUUUGAGGUACACUAUUUCUGAAGGUUUCUUGGUUAUGUGUUGAAGGAUGGAUAUAACUGGAUGUAGGGAUUCUUAGUUUGGGUGAGAUUUUAUGCUUCCCCUAUAUCCCCAACACCUGAUUGCAUAACCAGAAAGUUUCGGGAGUUUAUAAGUGGGAAUUCAAGUAUCACGUAGGCAUUCUUUUCAACGAUCCCUAAAAAAUCGUGAAAUUUGAGGAGAGAAAAGUCAAAACUUCUACGUUAGGAGGCCUCACUAGAGCGACGAAGGGACUGAGGAGUAAAAAGAAUCCUACUCUCCUAUAUAUAUAAUCCUAACACUCAAAACAUUUUGUUCUAGACUCAACAAUGUCAGCGAUUCAAUGAAGCAGGGGGCUCCUAAGUCGGGGAUGAUUCUGAUACCAACUUGUAACACCCACAAUGCGGCUAUAUCUCCCACGUGUCGGGGCACGACCUAGAGGCAUAGCCGCAUGGUAGGCUUGUCACAAGAGGGGUAAUCUUCACACAUCCCAUGCACUGAAUAAGAAAGGGAUAAAGAGUUGGCUUACAAGCGCCACUUCACACAAUACAUAAAUAAUCCAUACAUCAUCCAAAGUACAAACAAAGGUCUAACUACGGAACCAAAAUAAAAGAAGACAACCCAAAAUGCUAGAUCCCUGAUCGUCCCAACUGGGCUCUAGUACUGAUCAAUAGGAAACGAAACAACACAACGAACAAGAUCUUCAUCGAGCUCCCACUUGAGCUUGGUUGCGUCAUCUGCACUGGUAUCAUCGGCACCUGCAACUGUUUUGGAGGUAUCUGUGAGUCACGAGGACUUAGUAAUCUCACACCCACAAUAUCAAGACUAAUUAAGCUUAUGGGUAGGAGGAGGUAGCGAGGUGGAGCUGAAGCAAGCAAUAAGCAUAUAUGGUGGCUAACAUACGCAAAUAAGAGCAAGAAGAGAAGCAACGCAACCGACGUGAAGCUAGAAGUGAUCCUGAAACUACUUACGCACAAGCAUAACACAAGAACCGUGUUCACUUCCCGGACUCCACCGAAAAGAGACCAUCACGGCUACACACACGGUUGAUGCAUUUUAAUUAAGUCAAGUGUCAAGUUCUCUACAACCGGAUAUUAAAAAAUUCCCAUCUGCCACAUAACUGCGGGCAUGGCUUUCAAAAGUUUAAACCAUGGAGGGGUGUCCCAACUUAGCCCAUCACAAGCUCUCAUGGUCAACGAAGGAUAUUCCUUCUCCCGGGAAGACCCCAUCAGUCUCUGAUUCCCGGUUACAAGACAUUUCGACAAUGGUAAAACAAGACCAGCAAACCGCCCGGAUGUGCCGACAAAUCCCGAUAGGAGCUGCACAUAUCUCGUUCUCAGGGCACACCGGAUUGUCCAAACUUCCGGUAGGCCAACCCAGAGUUGCCCCUGGUGGCCACCGACUACCAACAGGUUGGACCAACACUAAGAGGAGCACUGGCCCACGGGUUUAAAAUAAAGAUGACCCUCGGGCUCGCGAAAACCCAAGGGAAGGUUAUAGGUUGUUAGGCAAAUGUAAAACCAAGGUUGGGCUUUGCUGGAGGUGUUUUAUUCAAAGCGAACUGUCAAGGGGUUCCCAUAACACCCAACCGCGUAAAGAACGCAAAAUCAAGGAACAUAAUACCGGUAUGACGGAAACUACGGCGGCAAGAGUGGAACAAAACACCAGGCAUAAGGCCGAGCCUUCCACCCUUUACCAAGUAUAUAGAUGCAUUAAAUAAAAUAAUAGAUAUUGUGAUAUCCCAACGUAUCCAUUCCAACAUGGAACAAACUUCAGCUUCACCUGGAACUAACAACGCUAUAAGAGGGGCUGAGCAAAAGCGGUAACAUAGCCAAACAAAAGGUUUGCUAGGAAAGGUGGAUUAGAGGCUUGACAUGCCAAUAUGGGAGGCAUGAUAUAGUAAGUGAUAGGUACUGCGACAUAACAAUAGAGCGAACAACUAGCAAGCAAAGAUAGAAGUGAUUUCGAGGGUAUGGUCGUCUUGCCUGAGAUCCCGCAAGGAAGAAGAACGAGCCCAAGAAGUAGACGACCCAACGUAGUCGAACGAAUCCUCACAACUCCGGAACGAAACUGAAGCUAACGAGAGAAGCAACCCGGAAAGAAGCAAGCAACAUGGUAAACACACAAGCAUAAACAUGGCAUGAUGCACAACCAAGUAUGAUGCAUGUCCGGUUUAAAGAGGCAUGGCAAAGUGCAACAAGCAAUACUACAAAUUAAGUGGAGCUCAAUAUGCAACAAGUUGCAUAUUGAAGAAACACCACAUUUAAUUAUUUAGUUCUCUCCCAUAUAGGUACUGAAUAAUAUUAAAUGUUGGUUAACAUGGCAAGAGGUGAAACAUGAGUAAAAUACACAGUUAGUCACUUUAAAUGAGGCUGGAAACAUCAAACAACAAUUCCGGUAAAACCUCAUGUGCAUUAGCAUUUUAAUGCAACAAGAAUUAUAAACAUUUUAAAUGUUGUUAUCAUGAUGCGGAUGGCAUAUGAAAGUUUAUGCAAUUUUAUGAAAAUGUUGAUAAGAACAUGAUAUGGAGCAUUUGUCGCCAUGGCGGAAGGAACAGGUUUCACGAAGAAACUUAUGCGACGCCUUGGAACUUGGCGCACCCAAAGGGAACUUGAUGGGUCUGAGUCCUUCGAGGGUCGUCCUGGUACUCGUUCAUGUUGUAGUCGUACACAUCAAUGAUAGUUGUACACUUGGUUGGUGAUAGUCGAACUUGGCGUAUCCAAGGUCUUCGGUGCUACGGUACUUGGCGGGUCAUCAUGUAGAUGUACUUUCGAGAGGAACUUGGCGCAUCCAAAAUCUUCGGGGAUCGUCCUUGGACUUGGCGGUGCUAGUCUCCUUGGUUCAAUAGUGAUAUGCAAGUGCCAAAACAACCGGCAACUUGGGCGGCUCCUUAAGGCCAUGGAGAUGACAGGCAGCAGGGGCUGCUGGUGGAGGCAGAGCCACGAUGAGGAGGUCCUGCUCCGUCAGUUGCAAGUGAUGGGCAAAAACCAGGCAGCAACAAGUCUUCGGCGCGAGGGAGAAAGGAGUCGGUGCGUGGGAAGGAGAAACAAGGGAAGUGGGUGAGCAGAGUACGAGGUCGCCGGAGAAGGAGCUCGCGGCCGGCGAGGCAAGGUGGCUCCGGCGAGGGCACCGGUGGCCGGGUUGCGGAAGACGGCGUGGAGGAGCAGACGAUGAAGGAGGCGGGAGGCGAGCCACGCGUGAGGGAGGAGGUCGAGGCCAACGCUGGUCGGUGCUGCGGCAGCGUCCUGUUGGUCGCCGGAGGAAGCGGCGGCGAGGUGCGGUGCUGGGACGCUCAAGACCGAGCGAGGAGGGCUGCGAGGAUGAAGCUGCAACUGCAACAGGGAGGCGCGGCCACGGGAUCGAGCGCGGGCGCUCUCCUGGAGCUUGAUGUGUGCGUGCCUGCGGCGCUACGGGAAAGAACGAGGAGAUGGGGAAUCGGGCGCAGGGGAUCUUGGCGGCGUGAGGAGGGCGACGAGGGAAGGGAUCGAGGGAGAGAGAGGUUCCAGCCGGUGCUAGGGUUAGAGGAGGGGAACUGGGCCUGUUGGUCUAGGAGGCUGUGGGAGGCCUUGGGUCGAGAGAAGCAAAUGGCCCGGGAGGUGGGCAUCUGCUGCUGACCUCCUCACAUAACAAGGAAAAACAAAGAGAGAAAAGGGAGAGGAAAGAAAGGGGCUGGUCUGGAAAGCUAAGUUGGGCUUAGAGGCAAAUGGGCCGGCCUGGUUCUCUCUUCUAUCUAAAAACAGAAAAAACAAAGAAGGAAAAAA
RNAcentral lists this long non-coding RNA (8030 nucleotides) under Triticum aestivum (bread wheat). RNAcentral's name for it is "long non-coding RNA (TAES_LNC019594)". The record is from RNAcentral. Lineage: Eukaryota; Viridiplantae; Streptophyta; Magnoliopsida; Poales; Poaceae.